Molecule: transfer RNA, 73 nt
Filed under: Stegodyphus mimosarum
Lineage: Eukaryota; Metazoa; Arthropoda; Arachnida; Araneae; Eresidae
Rfam family: tRNA
About the family: Transfer RNA (tRNA) molecules are approximately 80 nucleotides in length. Their secondary structure includes four short double-helical elements and three loops (D, anti-codon, and T loops). Further hydrogen bonds mediate the characteristic L-shaped molecular structure. tRNAs have two regions of fundamental functional importance: the anti-codon, which is responsible for specific mRNA codon recognition, and the 3' end, to which the tRNAs corresponding amino acid is attached (by aminoacyl-tRNA synthetases). tRNAs cope with the degeneracy of the genetic code in two manners: having more than one tRNA (with a specific anti-codon) for a particular amino acid; and 'wobble' base-pairing, i.e. permitting non-standard base-pairing at the 3rd anti-codon position.
Source: Rfam by way of RNAcentral
GCCUUUGUGGUGUAAUGUUCAGCACCCUGGGCGUGUAUUCCAGAGGUCCGUGGUUCGAGUCCCGGCGAAAGCG